GCACGUUUUGUUUUGAUGGAGAUUUUUUCAUGUUGAACAUCGUUUUGUCGAAGAAAUGCCAACUAUAGAAAACGGCAAAGGCGACGGAGAAGAGGAAAUGGAACAGGAAACGCCAGAUAGUGACAAAAGUUCAGAAGAUGAGUCUGAAUUGGGUUCUAUGGAUGAAGAUGAGUCGGAACUGGACGAAGAAGAAUGUGAAAGACGUAAAAAUGAGUUCCUGGAUGACAUGAUUGAUCUUGAAAGACAAUUCACAGACCUUAAAGAGCAGCUUUACAAGGAGAGGAUGGGGCAGUAUGAAGCCAAACUUGAGGAAGUAAAGGCAGGGAGAGCUAUUGAGUACCUCAACCCUCUGGCUGAGCUCCAGGACAAUAUGAGGAUUCGUAUACAGGUGUCAGGAAUUUUGAAAGAAUACAGAAAAAUAAGUAUCCAGAAUAAAUAUGAGAGUGAAGAACUUGCUACGAGACAAAAUAUGGAGAGUGAAAAGGAUAUAUUAUUUGACACUGUCAAGCAGGACUUGGAGGAGAAGAUCCGACGACUUGAAGAAGACAGACAUAAUAUAGAUAUAUCAUCAGACUUAUGGAACGAAUCACAGUUUAUGAAGAAAAAUAAAAAGAAUAAAGACCCCUCCAACCCUGACAGACGAAAGAAACCUGUAACAGUGGCUGGUCCCUAUAUAGUUUAUCUAUUAAAAGAUGUUGAUAUUAUUGAAGACUGGACAGCUAUUAAAAAGGCUUUAAAACAAAAUCAGAAAAGGAAAGCAGAGAUCGAGUUUUGAGGCUUUUAGAUAUUCCAUUAAAAUACGAAGAAAUCAGGAAGUGCCCAUCAUCAUGACAUGAAGUUUGACCUUGGUCCAUGAUAUAAAUGUGUAUGUAGGAGACUUUUCAGAAAAGCCUACAUAUACAUCAGAAAUAGGAAAAAACAUUGUAUAAUGGCAUCUUAUAGAGGUGUACAUCAAAAAUAGGAAAAUUCCUUGGUGAUUGUCGGAGAUAUAGCAUACUUCAGUCAAAAAUAGGAAAAUUCCUUGGUGAUUGUCGGAGAUAUAGCAUGCUUCAGUCAAAAAUAGGAAAAUUCCUUGGUGAUUGUCGGAGAUAUAGCAUGCUUCAGUCAAAAAUAGGAAAAUUCCUUGGUGAUUGUCGAGUAUAUAGCAUACUUCAUGAUAUAAAUGUGUAUGUAGGAGACUUUUCAGAAAAGCCUACAUAUACAUCAGAAAUAGGAAAAAACAUUGUAUAAUGGCAUCUUAUAGAGGUGUACAUCAAAAAUAGGAAAAUUCCUUGGUGAUUGUCGGAGAUUUAGCAUACUUCAGUCAAAAAUAGGAUAAUUCCGUGGUGAUUGUUGGAGAUGUAGCAUACUUCAGUCAAAAAUAGGAAAAUUCCAAGGUGAUUGUCGGAGAUAUAGCAUACUUCAGUCAAAAAUAGGAUAAUUCCUUGGUGAUUGUUGGAGAUGUAGCAUACUUCAGUCAAAAAUAGGACAAUUCCUUGGUGAUUGUCGGAGAUAUAGCAUACUUCAGUCAAAAAUAGGAUAAUUCCUUGGUGAUUGUCGAGUAUAUAGCAUACUUCAGUCAAAAAUAGGAUGAUUCCUUGGUGAUUGUUGGAGAUUUAGCAUACUUCAGUCAAAAAUAGGAUAAUUCCUUGGCGAUUGUCAAGUAUAUAGCAUACUUCAGUCAAAAAUAGGAAAAUUCCGAAUUGUGCAUUUGAAAUAUAGCGUAUUUCAGAGAUGUAUAGCAGAAAUGUAGAUGCCACAUUUUCUGUCUGUGAGACACACUAUACAUGUCCUGAUAAUGACAUUCCAUACAUACAUAUGUUGGAAAAUCUAUACAGUAUGCUUUUCCAAGCAUUGCUGUGUAGACGACUAUUGCAGCUAAUUUCUUUUGAUGGAUUUUCAGUGUUGUGUUCAGUACAGUGUAAUUUCUUGAAGAAAAUACAUACACACGAAACUGUUUGAUAUAAACACCCUUUAGUAAACAAGUGACUGUUACAGUCUUACUUACAUGGGUACACUACCUCCAACAUAUCAAAAGAGUGUACCAUUUGGUGUCAGAAUUGAUAUUUGAUAUAAAGGGGGUUGAGUGGUCAAGUCAUCUUUAUCACUAGUCCUCCACCUCUAGGAUGCAGGUUUGAGAUGGACAUGGGGCAGUUGUCAGAUACUGAUGGAGGUCAGCAGUUUUUCUCCAGGAACUCUGUCUUUCCUUCAUCACCUAAAUCUGGCAUGCCCUUAAAUGGCCCUGGCUGUUAAUAGGAGGCAAAGCAAAAUGAACUGCUAUAAGUAUUGUCAUUAUGACCAGGGACUUGGAUAUAUCUUGGUCUAGGUCUGUGUAAUGACUUAAAAUUUUCAGAGAGUUAUUGAAAGUGACACAGGAAAAAAUUUGUUUAUCUCACAAUUAGAAUUAUCAUUUGAAUAUAGCUUAUCUUAAAAUGCAAUAAGAUGACAGGUCUUCUCGUCAUUAAAUAGACAUGUGGUUUUUAUCUCCAGAGGUCAAUGUCAUUAUAAUGACGUGAUUUUUCAUGUCCAGAGGACAAGGUCAUUUAACUAAUAUUUUUCCAGAAGUCAAUGUCGUUAAAUUGAAGUGUUACUUUCAUGUCUAAAGCUCAAGGUCGUCAUAUUGAUAUAUGGUUUUCAUGUCAAGAAGUCAAAGUCAUUAAAUUAACAUGUGCUUUUUACACAUUGAAGGUUCAAGGAUACACAUAUCAGACUUUAACUUUUUUCAGUUUCUAAACUGUUACAGUUAGAAAAAUAGAUAUUAAAAGUUUGUAGAAAAUAGUAUAACUGAUCUGAAAUCAUGUGUGAACAACUUUUUUUCAUUUUCUUUUCACAACAUUAUUUACAUCAACUUGUUUUAACCGAGUAGCAGUGAUAGAAAAGAUAUGAAAUGCAUCUCUGACAUAGGUUAGCCCCAAAAGAACAUUAAAAAUAAGAGUGACUGUUAACACGACUUUGUGUAGGUCAUGUAUAUUGGUACAUAACAUGUUUAUAAAAACCCAGUACGGAAAUGAAUCAGUGUGAUGACGAGAUAUCCAAAAUUCAAUUUUAGAAAAAGAGAUCUUAAUGUUAAAGCAGUAUCAAUGUGUGGUAGUGCUCUGAGUGUGAUUAUUUUAAAAACUUGGGGUCAAAGAUUUUAGUCAUCCUUAAAGCACCACAAACAUUGAACCUGACAAAACGUGAUACAGUUGAGUCCUUGUAAAUUGUUGUUCAAUUUUAUUCUCUUUAUAUAUCUACUUUUGAUGUAAAACUGGGUCCAACUUUUCAAAAGCAUUUUGUCAAAUACUAAAAUUGUAUGUAUUUGGUUUUGAAUUUUCUUUACCAUUAAGACAAACACAGGAAAAUGUCUCAUAUCUGUCAUACACGUUUUUUUACCCAGAGAUUUAGUCAGAUUUUGCCAGGAUUUUAUGAUGCAUGUAAUAAGUUUUCCUUCACUGAAUGGCUACUUUCUUUUCACUGCAAUACAAAGUGUUCAUUAUGGCAGUUAAAACAGACAUAUUCUCCUAGGUUUGUAAACAUAGUGAAGGAUAUUUAUCAAUCUGUCAAUACAACUGUCAUUUCUCUUGUAAAAUUUUGUAAAUUAAAAUAUAAAUGAUGCAUAA
This is an RNA transcript of Ylistrum balloti, 3578 nucleotides long. It is a transcript of the gene named breast cancer metastasis-suppressor 1-like protein-A, with no coding region annotated. The transcript has 10 exons. Lineage: Eukaryota; Metazoa; Mollusca; Bivalvia; Pectinida; Pectinidae. The record is from RefSeq and is a predicted model, not a curated record.